UAAAUGAAUGCUGUGAUAUUAUUGUUGAAACAGAAACAAUUUCACGUUGUUUCGCUGAUGGGAUAUAACUAAUGUUGUGUGUAAUGUAAUACAUUUAUGAAGACACAACCAUGUCAGAGUGGUUGUAGUGGCUUCAACAUCUUAAGCAACAUUAAUUAAACAUUAAAUAGCCAAAUAAUUUUGCAACAUGUUCAGUUUGUCAGCUCUACUCACUCAACGUAUGUGCAUUCCCGCGACAGGUGGUUGAGACGCAUUUACAACAAAUUAACUUUUUUCAGUAAAUUUUUUCUUUUGUUGUUGCGUUUUUUUCAGAGUAGCAUCAACACGUUCACGCGUGACUCUUUAGUUUGUUUGUCGGUUGCCAACCAUCACCUCCUUUUAUUCAUCAUCCAACGCAAAACAUGACUCGCGGAGCGGCACGUGGUCAGCCGGCCCGCUCCUCCCGCCGCGGCCACGCCUCCGGAUGGUGACUCGGUCGGGAGCAGCGUGGCUGGAGCUGGAAGCAGCAGCAAAGAAGCGUUGACGCUGCGUGCGUUUGGGGGGGAAAAAAAACAAAACAAAAAAAACUGCGCCAGGAAACAGCUCCGUUUGCAGACGGUGGAACCAGCGCGCGCAGCGCACCGGAGUCGGUGGAGAACGGAAGUACUCCUGCUGGUCGUCGCGACGGGAUGUGAAGGUGACGUGUGUGAAAGGGACGCUGCGCACUUGAACGCGCCUUGUCCUUUUGGUGUGCCUGAUGGAGAGGGACAGAGAAGCGGACGCAGCGUUAUUCAUGACGGACAACGUUAACAGUUGGUUGUCUUCGAGUCAACGUGAAUCAGAGUCCGCUUUAAUGGACAUGUAUGCUGACCCAGACUGAUGGGAAGUUGUCUCCGGUUGCUCUCAACGCGCGAAAGCCAAAUUGGACAAUACAACAGACGAGGGACAAGAUGCGGCAGUAGAGGAUCUCAACACAACCAGGAUGCAGAGAAGUAAUCGGAGAAGGCACCAAUAAGUCUGGAAAAAACCCAAACGGGGUCCUGCGAUAUCUCGGUUGUCUCCUUCCAGGCCUGAAUGGACACAUUGUGCUGCUGCCCGCUGCUGUUCUACAGACCACUAGGUCCUCCACACACACCUGUCAAGCCAUGUCCGUGGCGCCUUGGGUGCUGAGACACUCCAGAGCCCCCCUGCUGUACACAUGGUUAUUGAACCCUUGCACACACACACACACUUAAACGUCCUAUAUGAAUAAAUAAACCCAUGUGGUCACGUAAACCUAUGUUUAGACACAGAAAUGCAUUCACAAGGACGCACACAAUUGAAUUUCACAAAUACACAGAGUAUGCAUUCAUGCUUUUUCACAAACAAACACACACACACUCAAAGACUUCUCUUUAUUGGAAACACGCCUCUCUCCCUUCGCCCAUGCCAAGGUUACAUGCGGGGCGGCUUCAGAUUUUAGAAAGGGUCAAGUUCCAUAUUUGUCAGGUGGGGGUUGGGGGCAAGGGUGCAGAAGGAAACAGCAUUCAGGAGUAGACCACCUGUAACCUGAUCUCCUGCUUCAAUCGGUUGCAGGUUUUCUCUUUUUGAGUUGAGUGGGCAGCAGUUGUGGGACACAGUGUUCUUUGCUUCCAUUUGGCAAAUGUGUUUACAUUUCUGCUUAAGUCAUUGAAAUGAUCAGCAAAUGUUUUUUUUAUUAUUUAUAAGCGAUUCAUCGGAGCUGAAACGGCUUUUAAUUGCUUUUCAGUUUAUUAAAUGAUUUGUGGAAAUUGAAUGGCAAUGUUUUUGGGAUUGAUUGAUUGAUUCAUUUAAUAUCUACUUCUUGCUAUUUCUAUGCAUGUAAACGAUUAUUUUUAGAUUCUGAGCAACUUAGUUGG
Gasterosteus aculeatus aculeatus (three-spined stickleback) is the source of this 1856-nucleotide long non-coding RNA. NCBI's taxonomy places the organism in Eukaryota, Metazoa, Chordata, Actinopteri, Perciformes, Gasterosteidae. The record is from Ensembl.